RNAcentral lists this ribosomal RNA (629 nucleotides) under uncultured bacterium. RNAcentral's name for it is "bacterial SSU rRNA". It matches the Rfam family "Bacterial small subunit ribosomal RNA", at positions 772 to 1397 of the family's 1533-position model. The record is from RNAcentral.
ACCGGAUUAGAUACCCUGGUAGUCCACGCCGUAAGCGAUGUCAACUAGCCGUUGGGAUCCUCGAGAUCUUAGUGGCGCAGCUAACGCAUUAAGUUGACCGCCUGGGGAGUACGGCCGCAAGGUUAAAACUCAAAUGAAUUGACGGGGGCCCGCACAAGCGGUGGAGCAUGUGGUUUAAUUCGAAGCAACGCGAAGAACCUUACCUGGUCUUGACAUGCUGAGAACUUUCCAGAGAUGGAUUGGUGCCUUCGGGAACUCAGACACAGGUGCUGCCUGGCUGUCGUCAGCUCGUGUCGUGAGAUGUUGGGUUAAGUCCCCGUAACGAGCGCAACCCUUGUCCUUAGUUACCAGCACGUUAUGGUGGGCACUCUAAGGAGACUGCCCGCGACCAACCGGAGGAAGGUGGGCACGACGUCAAGCCAUUAUGGCCCUUACGGUCAGGGCUACACACGUGCUACAAUGCUCCGUUACAAAGGGUUGUCACGCCGCGAGGUGCAGCUAAUCCCACAAAACCGAUCGUAGCCCGGAUUGCAGCUCUGCACUCGACUGCGUGAAGUCGGAAUCGCUAGUAAUCGUGAAUCACAACGUCACGGUGAAUACGUUCCCGGUCCUCGCACACACCGCCUCGU